This 498-nucleotide ribosomal RNA is filed under the name uncultured bacterium. RNAcentral's name for it is "partial 16S ribosomal RNA". It matches the Rfam family "Bacterial small subunit ribosomal RNA", at positions 27 to 507 of the family's 1533-position model. The record is from RNAcentral.
GGAUGAACGCUGGCGGCGUGCCUAAUACAUGCAAGUCGAGCGAACGGACGAGAAGCUUGCUUCUCUGAUGUUAGCGGCGGACGGGUGAGUAACACGUGGAUAACCUACCUAUAAGACUGGGAUAACUUCGGGAAACCGGAGCUAAUACCGGAUAAUAUUUUGAACCGCAUGGUUCAAAAGUGAAAGACGGUCUUGCUGUCACUUAUAGAUGGAUCCGCGCUGCAUUAGCUAGUUGGUAAGGUAACGGCUUACCAAGGCAACGAUGCAUAGCCGACCUGAGAGGGUGAUCGGCCACACUGGAACUGAGACACGGUCCAGACUCCUACGGGAGGCAGCAGUAGGGAAUCUUCCGCAAUGGGCGAAAGCCUGACGGAGCAACGCCGCGUGAGUGAUGAAGGUCUUCGGAUCGUAAAACUCUGUUAUUAGGGAAGAACAUAUGUGUAAGCAACUGUGCACAUCUUGACGGUACCUAAUCAGAAAGCCACGGCUAACUACGUG